UAUUGGUCAAUAGGGUAACGGCUGAACCAGCAACUUGGAGGAAUGUAUAGGGAAAACUGGUAAAAUGUGAUGUACCUAGUAGUAUUAGUGAUUAAUACGAGAUUAACUUAGUUAAUUAAAAUUCAAAGUAGAUAUAUGAUUAUGACAUUAUCUGCUUAUGUCUUGACCAAGUCACGUGCCAGCAGUCGCGGUAAUACGUGGAAGAUUAGUGUUAUUCAUUUUUAACAGGUUUAAAGGGUACCUAGACGGUUUUUUAAGCACAAAAAUGAACUAAAAAACUAGAGUUUAAUGUAAGAAGGAUUGAGUACGGUGAGUGUAGAGAUAAAAUUCUGUAAUACCACUUAGGAACUGGUAAAGGCGAAGGCAACCUUCUAUGUAAAAACUGACGUUAAGGGACGAAGGCUCGAAUUAAAAAAUAGGAUUAGAUACCCUAGUAUUGUGGGCAGAAAAUGAUGAGUGUCAUAUGCAAAAAAAUUUUUUUGUGUAUAAAUGAAAGUGUAAGCACUCCACCUCAAGAGUAACGUGGCAACAUGGGAACUGAAAUCAUUAGACCGUUUCUGAAACUCGUAGUGAAGUAUGUUGUUUAAUUUGAUAACCCACAAAUAACCUUACCACAAUUUGAAUAACUAUAAGUUAAUAUAGUAACAAGUGUUGCACGGCUGUCUUCAGUCAAUGUUGUGAAACAUUGGUUAGAUCCAUUAAAUUGACGUAAACCCUUACUUUAUUUAUUAUAAAGUAGUUCGCCACUAUAUUGGUAGUGAUAUAAGGGACCAAGACAAGUCAUCAUGACCUGAACAUAGUGGGCUAUAGNCGUGCC
RNAcentral lists this ribosomal RNA (817 nucleotides) under Reimnitzia santensis. RNAcentral describes it as "SSU rRNA". It matches the Rfam family "Bacterial small subunit ribosomal RNA", at positions 362 to 1226 of the family's 1533-position model. The record is from RNAcentral. Lineage: Eukaryota; Fungi; Ascomycota; Lecanoromycetes; Ostropales; Graphidaceae.